UACCGCGAAAUCUACGCGAGCGUUUUUAUAGACAAAUGCUCGAAGAUUUCUAUCACCAGCUGCCACUUGAAAGUGCGUUUAGCUAGCAAGCCAGCAGUAGUGUCUGCGCUUUCAAGCAUACACUUGAUAAUACGAAGAUAAUGAGACAAAGUGUAAACACAUGAAUGACAGAUUCAAUAUUUCUUGACACUCGUAAAUCUUCAAACCUGCCAGUUGUUCGUUAGUGCGUGAAAAAGUGGAAUUUUGUGAUGUUUAAAAGCAGACAUUGGGUCAUCCAAACGUGGCUUUGCCUAGGCCGUCGCAUUGUAUGAAUGAAUUAUCAAAUGCAUGGGCAUUGGAGCAAUGAGGUGAUGUAGCUGAAAAAUGCACCUUUGUUCUCUUUUCACUUUGCCUCAUGGUAUUCUGUCUCAAGUUUAGCUAUUGUCAAAGCAGCAAUUUCGACUGACACAGCAACGCUCAUCUGAAUGGCAUCUGUCAAUGUCGUCAACUACUCGGACAUUAAUGUCUGGAUACAAAUUGGGUAGAUCUUGUAUGCCAUGCCCAACAUCAGAAUAGCUGGAAUGUACAGACUAAAAAAGCUCGGAAGCGCUUGCACUCUUUGGAGAAUUUUGUAUGAGCAUUUUCAGGCUGUUCUGGUGACACUAAAAAAUACUGGCUCUCCUGUAA
This 666-nucleotide long non-coding RNA is filed under the name Dermacentor andersoni. RNAcentral describes it as "uncharacterized LOC126540057". The record is from RNAcentral. Lineage: Eukaryota; Metazoa; Arthropoda; Arachnida; Ixodida; Ixodidae.